UAGGGAAUCUUCCGCAAUGGGCGAAAGCCUGACGGAGCAACGCCGCGUGAGUGAUGAAGGUCUUCGGAUCGUAAAACUCUGUUAUUAGGGAAGAACAAAUGUGUAAGUAACUAUGCACGUCUUGACGGUACCUAAUCAGAAAGCCACGGCUAACUACGUGCCAGCAGCCGCGGUAAUACGUAGGUGGCAAGCGUUAUCCGGAAUUAUUGGGCGUAAAGCGCGCGUAGGCGGUUUUUUAAGUCUGAUGUGAAAGCCCACGGCUCAACCGUGGAGGGUCAUUGGAAACUGGAAAACUUGAGUGCAGAAGAGGAAAGUGGAAUUCCAUGUGUAGCGGUGAAAUGCGUAGAUAUAUGGAGGAACACCAGUGGCGAAGGCGACUCUCUGGUCUGUAACUGACGCUGAGGCUCGAAAGCGUGGGGAGCGAACAGG
This 429-nucleotide ribosomal RNA is filed under the name Bacteroidota bacterium. RNAcentral describes it as "Bacteroidetes bacterium partial 16S ribosomal RNA". It matches the Rfam family "Bacterial small subunit ribosomal RNA", at positions 355 to 776 of the family's 1533-position model. The record is from RNAcentral. Lineage: Bacteria; Pseudomonadati; Bacteroidota.